AUUGCAUUAGGGUGUCUACAAAGAAUUGAGUUUAUUUAAAGGCUAAAUAAAUUAUCAAUGUAACUGUUUGAAAGAGCUCAUCACUCAGUGGGGGAAAAAUCAAAUAGCUACUGCUAACUACAUAUUAGUAUACAAGAAUGAGCAUCUCUAAUCAUUCAUGUCCAAUCUUACCUUUGAUAAGGGACAUAUGGGCACUACGAACCUAAAUUCUAUGUUGGUAAAUUACAGGUGCAACAUAUGUACUUAAGUAGAAUACAAAUUUCAUCUCUGUAAUUGAUCAGGUGUGUGGUUGCUUGUUGUAGAUGAUGACGUAGUC
RNAcentral lists this unclassified non-coding RNA (316 nucleotides) under Hevea brasiliensis (rubber tree). The record is from RNAcentral. Lineage: Eukaryota; Viridiplantae; Streptophyta; Magnoliopsida; Malpighiales; Euphorbiaceae.